Molecule: long non-coding RNA, 1717 nt
Filed under: Brassica napus (rape)
Lineage: Eukaryota; Viridiplantae; Streptophyta; Magnoliopsida; Brassicales; Brassicaceae
Description: long non-coding RNA (BNAP_LNC022983)
Source: RNAcentral
UUCUGAAAUGUAGGUACUUUUUAAAUGAACACGAGCGUAAAUGAUGUUUGUGUUGUACAUGUGUACAUAAUCUGAGAUGCUUUUUGAUUUUGUUUUUUUUUGUUGUGUAAUUUUGGUUGCAGCUGACUGUGCUACUGAUGAUGGAGUGUGGGGAGGAGAAGGAAGAGGAUUGGGGAGUAUGGGACAGUGAGAUUUUUUAUUGUAAAUGUGCAACAUGGUUCUUGUUUGGUAAAUUGUUCAAUUUAUCCGUAAGAAGGUGUACGAUGUCUGGGAAACUAGUUUAUGCAUGAAUAUUAUUAAAGAUUUCUCGAUGGACAAUAAAGCAUAGACACAAAUAAAGUAGACAACCUAGCUAUAAAGACAAUUAAUCAUUUACAGAAAAUGUUAAGAUAUAUGAGAAUGAUAUAUGUGUAAAAACAAAUAGAAUUGAUGAGUUUAAGUACAUGGAAUGACAUAGGAACCCACCUUUUGGAGUCACGGUAAAACAAUGCGCACAUUAUUCUAUGUCAAUGUGUACUUAGAACUUAUAGUGUACAUGUGUACACAGUUUUAAAACUCAAGAAAAUUAUGUACACAAGACUCUAACUUAUAGUGUAUAAGCUUCGUCUAAAGUGCAAAUUCAAUAUGUACAGAAAAAAUGAAAGCAUAAAUGUGUUGUGUACAACAAUAAAUAGAACAAUUUGAAAUAUCAAGUACAUAAACAAACACACAAAACACACAACGUGUAUGUAUAUAUGUAUCAAGCUAUCAAUGUAUCAAUGUAUAUACAUGUAUGAAGCUAUACAUGUAUCAAGGUAUAUACAUGUACAACGAUUUAUGCACUUUGAAAAUGUGGCCUAGUCUCGGACACUUGAGGGGUAACAGGGGAGGUUGGGGUGAAUUGGAUGUCGUCUGGUGGGGGUGUACGUGUGGAUGCGUAGGCUGGUGUCCAUUCGGAUAAUUGUGAUGAUGUACGCCGGUGUUGGAUGUAGCCGGUGAGUUGUACGUGUGGACGAUGAAUAUUGGUGUACAUCUGGAUAAUUAUGAUGAUGUAUGCCGGUGUCGUCUGGUUCAGGCUUCCAAUAAGUUGGUAGUACCCCCGAGAUAAGCAGAGUGUGGUCGAACGCAUUACCGGUGGUGCAAUGAAUGAUGUGUGGGGCGAUUUUGGUUACAUUGAUGCCAACAAUCACCUCGGGGCAUGAGAACCGCAAGUGUGUCGUCUAGGAAAAAGGAUCCCAAAAGUCAUGGUCAUAGCGACGGGGUUGAACCGUCGUCGGAUAUCUUCCAUUCACCGGCGAUAACCAUACAUUGGUCCGCCAUGAAAGAUAGAUGGAAGGAGAAACUAGAGUUAACGGCUUAGACGCAAUGUGAACAAAAAAAUUAAACAAACUUAGAACACAAACCUCGAGUUAUAAGAGUUUAGGAUCCAAUCAUCAGUAGGGUUAAAUUUGCUUGAUUAAUUAGUAAGCUUGAAAUUUCUAGGAUGAACAAUUUUGGAGAAGAUGACCAUGUGGAGAACCGAAGAAGGUGAGAAAUAAGAGAAUUAAUCAGGGCCGUCGAUUGGUGGUAAAUCUAAUGGUUGUGGUGAAGUGGCAAAUAUAUGUCUUAUCAAGAUCUGUUAAGUUUGAUCUGGGCCGUUUAAAUCUUUUCAGCAUCAAGGGCUGUGAAUAAAGCCUGCCAAAGUGAUAAGCUAGUUGGCAAUUCCCUGGUUAGAAUCGAACAAAUCAGUUAAGAUUUA